ACGGAUUCUUCGGAAUUAGUGGCGGACGGGUGAGUAACGCGUGAGAAUCUGCCCUUAGGUUGGGGACAACAGUUGGAAACGACUGCUAAUACCCAAUGUGCCGAGAGGUGAAAGGUUAACUGCCUGAGGAUGAGCUCGCGUCUGAUUAGCUAGUUGGAGUGGUAACGGCACACCAAGGCGACGAUCAGUAGCUGGUCUGAGAGGAUGAUCAGCCACACUGGGACUGAGACACGGCCCAGACUCCUACGGGAGGCAGCAGUGGGGAAUUUUCCGCAAUGGGCGAAAGCCUGACGGAGCAAGACCGCGUGAGGGAGGAAGGCCUAUUGGUUGUAAACCUCUUUUGAUAGGGAAGAACACAAUGACGGUACCUAUCGAAUCAGCAUCGGCUAACUCCGUGCCAGCAGCCGCGGUAAUACGGAGGAUGCAAGCGUUAUCCGGAUUUAUUGGGCGUAAAGCGUCCGUAGGUGGCAAUCCAAGUCAGUUGUUAAAGCGUAGAGCUUAACUCUAUAACGGCAAUUGAAACUGGAUAGCUAGAGUGCGAUAGGGGCAAGGGGAAUUCCCAGUGUAGCGGUGAAAUGCGUAGAUACUGGGAAGAACAUCGGUGGCGAAGGCGCCUUGCUGGGUCUGCACUGACACUGAGGGACGAAAGCUAGGGGAGCGAAAGGGAUUAGAUACCCCUGUAGUCCUAGCCGUAAACGAUGGAUACUAGGCGUUGUCCGUAUCGACCCGAGCCGUGCCGAAG
RNAcentral lists this ribosomal RNA (742 nucleotides) under uncultured cyanobacterium. Its description in RNAcentral is "bacterial SSU rRNA". It matches the Rfam family "Bacterial small subunit ribosomal RNA", at positions 66 to 851 of the family's 1533-position model. The record is from RNAcentral. Lineage: Bacteria; Bacillati; Cyanobacteriota.